UACGUAGGGGGCAAGCGUUAUCCGGAUUUACUGGGUGUAAAGGGUGCGUAGGCGGGCUUUUAAGUCAGCGGUAAAAAUUCGGGGCUCAACCCCGUCCGGCCGUUGAAACUGGGGGUCUUGAGUGGGCGAGAAGAAGGCGGAAUGCGUGGUGUAGCGGUGAAAUGCAUAGAUAUCACGCAGAACCCCGAUUGCGAAGGCAGCCUUCCGGCGCCCUACUGACGCUGAGGCACGAAAGUGCGGGGAUCGAACAGG
Molecule: ribosomal RNA, 252 nt
Filed under: uncultured bacterium
Lineage: Bacteria
Description: partial 16S ribosomal RNA
Rfam family: Bacterial small subunit ribosomal RNA
Source: RNAcentral